UACACUCCUGCGGGAGGCAGCAGUGGGGAAUUUUGGACAAUGGGCGAAAGCCUGAUCCAGCAAUGCCGCGUGAGUGAAGAAGGCCUUCGGGUUGUAAAGCUCUUUUGUCAGGGAAGAAACGGUGAAAGCUAAUAUCUUUUGCUAAUGACGGUACCUGAAGAAUAAGCACCGGCUAACUACGUGCCAGCAGCCGCGGUAAUACGUAGGGUGCAAGCGUUAAUCGGAAUUACUGGGCGUAAAGCGUGCGCAGGCGGUUUUGUAAGUCUGAUGUGAAAUCCCCGGGCUCAACCUGGGAAUUGCAUUGGAGACUGCAAGGCUAGAAUCUGGCAGAGGGGGGUAGAAUUCCACGUGUAGCAGUGAAAUGCGUAGAUAUGUGGAGGAACACCGAUGGCGAAGGCAGCCCCCUGGGUCAAGAUUGACGCUCAUGCACGAAAGCGUGGGGAGCAAACAGGAUUAGAACCCCAGUAGUCCC
Molecule: ribosomal RNA, 472 nt
Filed under: uncultured organism
Description: partial 16S ribosomal RNA
Rfam family: Bacterial small subunit ribosomal RNA
Source: RNAcentral